This 253-nucleotide ribosomal RNA is filed under the name uncultured bacterium. RNAcentral describes it as "partial 16S ribosomal RNA". It matches the Rfam family "Bacterial small subunit ribosomal RNA", at positions 524 to 776 of the family's 1533-position model. The record is from RNAcentral.
GACGAACCGUGCAAACGUUAUUCGGAAUCACUGGGCGUAAAGAGCGCGCAGGCGGUCGUUCAAGUCGAGUGUGAAAGCCCCCGGCUCAACUGGGGAGGGUCAUUCGAUACUGAUCGACUGGAAGGCAGGAGAGGGAAGCGGAAUUCCCGGUGUAGUGGUGAAAUGCGUAGAUAUCGGGAGGAACACCAGUGGCGAAGGCGGCUUCCUGGCCUGUUCUUGACGCUGAGGCGCGAAAGCUAGGGGAGCAAACGGG